RNAcentral lists this ribosomal RNA (254 nucleotides) under uncultured bacterium. Its description in RNAcentral is "partial 16S ribosomal RNA". It matches the Rfam family "Bacterial small subunit ribosomal RNA", at positions 524 to 776 of the family's 1533-position model. The record is from RNAcentral.
UACAGAGGGUGCAAGCGUUGUUCGGAAUUACUGGGCGUAAAGCGAGUGUAGGCGGUCUACUAAGUCGGGUGUGAAAGCCCUGGGCUCAACCCAGGAAGUGCACUCGAAACUGGUGGGCUAGAGUAUCGGAGAGGUUGGUGGAAUUCACGGUGUAGCAGUGAAAUGCGUAGAUAUCGUGAGGAAGACCAGUGGCGAAGGCGGGGUCUCUGGACAGUUCCUGACACUGAGGCACGAAGGCCAGGGGAGCAAACGGG